GCUAGACGUGAAACAAACCGGAUAAAUUCUAUGAGAUUGAUUUACAUACAAGUGUCAGGAAACUGACUUUAGUAGAAGCGGAAAUGACGCCUUCCAGUCAGGAGGUGGCGCCAAAAUCAAAAACAAACGCUACAGCACAUGGACUUCGCCAUUUUGUAUUGGACUGGAUCGUCAUCUCACUAGUCUACGAUCGCCAAAUUGUAGGUGAGUAAAGUUAACAAGUUUGAUGUGAUUAUCUUAAAUAUAAUUGUCUGUUGUUUAAUUACAUGUGUGACGCGUUGCAUGUUUCAGAGUAAAAUACACCUCACUACACAGACGGUCUGUCUGAAUAUACAGCAUCAUUUCAUCGUCUAUAUGGUGGGACAACCUGCUAGACAGGUUGAAGACAUCUGUACCUACCUCAAAGAAGGCAUGGAG
Misgurnus anguillicaudatus (oriental weatherfish) is the source of this 417-nucleotide non-coding RNA. Lineage: Eukaryota; Metazoa; Chordata; Actinopteri; Cypriniformes; Cobitidae. The record is from RefSeq and is a predicted model, not a curated record.